This 253-nucleotide ribosomal RNA is filed under the name uncultured bacterium. RNAcentral describes it as "partial 16S ribosomal RNA". It matches the Rfam family "Bacterial small subunit ribosomal RNA", at positions 524 to 776 of the family's 1533-position model. The record is from RNAcentral.
UACGUAGGUGGCAAGCGUUGUCCGGAUUUACUGGGCGUAAAGCGCUCGCAGGUGGUCCGUCGCGUCGUGCGUGAAAGACCCCGGCUCAACUGGGGAGGGUCGUGCGAUACGGGCGGACUGGAGGCCAGUAGGGGGAUGCGGAAUUCCGGGUGUAGUGGUGGAAUGCGUAGAGAUCCGGAGGAACACCAGCGGCGAAGGCGGCAUCCUGGACUGGUCCUGACACUCAGGAGCGAAAGCGUGGGGAGCGAUCCGG